This 301-nucleotide ribosomal RNA is filed under the name uncultured bacterium. RNAcentral describes it as "partial 16S ribosomal RNA". It matches the Rfam family "Bacterial small subunit ribosomal RNA", at positions 509 to 809 of the family's 1533-position model. The record is from RNAcentral.
CAGUCGCCGCGGUAACACCGAGGGUGCGAGCGUUAAUCGGAUUUACUGGGCGUAAAGCGUGCGUAGGCGGCUUUUUAAGUCGGAUGUGAAAUCCCUGAGCUUAACUUAGGAAUUGCAUUCGAUACUGGGAAGCUAGAGUAUGGGAGAGGAUGGUAGAAUUCCAGGUGUAGCGGUGAAAUGCGUAGAGAUCUGGAGGAAUACCGAUGGCGAAGGCAGCCAUCUGGCCUAAUACUGACGCUGAGGUACGAAAGCAUGGGGAGCAAACAGGAUUAGAUACCCCAGUAGUCCCUGUCUCUUAUAA